RNAcentral lists this long non-coding RNA (861 nucleotides) under Musa acuminata (dwarf banana). RNAcentral describes it as "long non-coding RNA (MACU_LNC005004)". Lineage: Eukaryota; Viridiplantae; Streptophyta; Magnoliopsida; Zingiberales; Musaceae. The record is from RNAcentral.
CACGCCCGCCACUGCCCCUCCGGCCAAGGCGUCGCCGUCAAGGUCUUCCCCAACCCCCGUCGUCCUGCUGGUUGCUCUGCCGACGGCGACUCCUUUAUCCGCGAGAUCUCCGCCCUCCGCCGGCUCCGACAUCCCCACAUCAUCCGCCUCCACGAGGUGCUGGCCUCCCGCUCCAAGGUGUACCUCGUCCUCGAGCUCGCCAAGGGCGGCGAGCUGUUCUCCCGCGUCGAGGACCGCGGUCACCUCCCGGAGGACCUCUGCCGCCGUCUGUUCCGCCAGCUCGUCUCCGCCGUCGCCUACUCCCACUCCCGCGGCGUCUUCCACCGGGACCUCAAGCCGGAGAACCUCCUCCUGGACGAGGCCGGCGACCUCAAGGUCUCGGACUUCGGGCUCGCCGCCCUCCGCUCCUCCUCCUCCUCCUCCGAAGGCGAUGACGGUGACCUCCUGCUGCACACCCAAUGCGGGACGCCAGCGUACGUGGCGCCGGAGGUCCUCACGAGGAAGAUGACGGGAGGGUACGACGGGGCGAAGGCGGACAUGUGGUCGUGCGGGGUGAUCCUCUUCGUGCUCAACGCCGGCUACCUCCCCUUCAACGACCCCAACCUCAUGUCCCUCUACCGAAAGAUCUACCGCGGCCAGCACCGCUGCCCCCGCUGGACUUCGCCCAAUCUCCGGCGCCUCAUCGCCCGCCUCCUCGACCCCAACCCCGCCACCCGCAUCUCCAUCGACGCCAUCCUGCGCGACCCCUGGUUCGCCAGGGACUUCGACGCGGACCAAUGGACGGCGCUGAUGCAGCCCCGCGGAGAUGCCACCGAUCCAUCGGGCAAGCCCCACCAUCGCAGGGAGCUCAACGCCUUCGAC